UACGGGGGGGGCAAGCGCUGUUCGGAUUUACUGGGCGUAAAGGGCGCGUAGGCGGCCACCGCAAGUCGACUGUGAAAUCUCCGGGCUUAACCCGGAAAGGUCAGCCGAUACUGCGGGGCUAGAGUGCAGAAGGGGCAACUGGAAUUCUCGGUGUAGCGGUGAAAUGCGUAGAUAUCGAGAGGAACACCUGCGGCGAAGGCGGGUUGCUGGGCUGACACUGACGCUGAGGCGCGAAAGCUAGGGGAGCGAACGGG
Molecule: ribosomal RNA, 254 nt
Filed under: uncultured bacterium
Lineage: Bacteria
Description: partial 16S ribosomal RNA
Rfam family: Bacterial small subunit ribosomal RNA
Source: RNAcentral